GCCCUUGUAGAUGAAUUGGCCAGUCACCCAUCACAGGUAGUGAUGAUGUAAUACUACUCGAUGUGAGUGGGAAAUGGAGGUUCGAAUCCUCCUGAGGGCA
Molecule: non-coding RNA, 100 nt
Organism: Mycena rebaudengoi
Lineage: Eukaryota; Fungi; Basidiomycota; Agaricomycetes; Agaricales; Mycenaceae
Source: the annotation of a GenBank genome assembly